AGAGUUUGAUCCUGGCUCAGGAUGAACGCUGGCGGCGUGCUUAACACAUGCAAGUCGAACGAACCUUCGGGUUAGUGGCGGACGGGUGAGUAACGCGUGGGAAUCUGCCCUCAGGAGGGGGAUAACGGUUGGAAACGGCCGCUAAUACCCCAUAUGCCGAGAGGUGAAAUGAAUUUCGCCUGAGGAUGAGCCCGCGUCUGAUUAGCUAGUUGGUGAGGUAAUGGCUCACCAAGGCAUCGAUCAGUAGCUGGUCUGAGAGGAUGAUCAGCCACACUGGGACUGAGACACGGCCCAGACUCCUACGGGAGGCAGCAGUGGGGAAUUUUCCGCAAUGGGCGCAAGCCUGACGGAGCAACGCCGCGUGAGGGAUGAAGGCCUCUGGGCUGUAAACCUCUUUUCUCAAGGAAGAAGAUCUGACGGUACUUGAGGAAUAAGCCACGGCUAAUUCCGUGCCAGCAGCCGCGGUAAUACGGGAGUGGCAAGCGUUAUCCGGAAUUAUUGGGCGUAAAGCGUCCGCAGGCGGCUUUUCAAGUCUGCUGUUAAAGCGUGGAGCUUAACUCCAUCAAGGCAGUGGAAACUGAUUGGCUUGAGUGUGGUAGGGGCAGAGGGAAUUCCCGGUGUAGCGGUGAAAUGCGUAGAUAUCGGGAAGAACACCAGUGGCGAAGGCGCUCUGCUGGGCCAUAACUGACGCUCAUGGACGAAAGCCAGGGGAGCGAAAGGGAUUAGAUACCCCUGUAGUCCUGGCCGUAAACGAUGAACACUAGGUGUCGGGGGAAUCGACCCCCUCGGUGUCGUAGCCAACGCGUUAAGUGUUCCGCCUGGGGAGUACGCACGCAAGUGUGAAACUCAAAGGAAUUGACGGGGGCCCGCACAAGCGGUGGAGUAUGUGGUUUAAUUCGAUGCAACGCGAAGAACCUUACCAGGGUUUGACAUCCUGCGAACCUCUAAGAAAUUAGAGGGUGCCUUUGGGAACGCAGUGACAGGUGGUGCAUGGCUGUCGUCAGCUCGUGUCGUGAGAUGUUGGGUUAAGUCCCGCAACGAGCGCAACCCACGUUUUUAGUUGCCAGCAUUCAGUUGGGCACUCUAGAGAGACCGCCGGUGAUAAACCGGAGGAAGGUGUGGAUGACGUCAAGUCAUCAUGCCCCUUACAUCCUGGGCUACACACGUACUACAAUGCUACGGACAAAGGGCAGCGAACUCGCGAGGGCAAGCAAAUCCCAUAAACCGUGGCUCAGUUCAGAUCGUAGGCUGCAACUCGCCUACGUGAAGAAGGAAUCGCUAGUAAUCGCAGGUCAGCAUACUGCGGUGAAUACGUUCCCGGGCCUUGUACACACCGCCCGUCACACCAUGGAAGUUGGCCACGCCCGAAGUCGUUACUCCAACCCUUGUGGAGGAGGACGCCGAAGGUGGGGCUGAUGACUGGGGUGAAGUCGUAACAAGGUAGCCGUACCGGAAGGUGCGGCUG
Molecule: ribosomal RNA, 1465 nt
Filed under: Prochlorococcus marinus
Lineage: Bacteria; Bacillati; Cyanobacteriota; Cyanophyceae; Synechococcales; Prochlorococcaceae
Description: bacterial SSU rRNA
Rfam family: Bacterial small subunit ribosomal RNA
Source: RNAcentral